UAGCAAAUGCAACAUUUUUUCUCCCAAUGAUCUCAAAUAUGACCAAUUUUUUGAGACUCAGAAAAGUUAGGUGGUAGAAGAAAAAUAUAUAUCCAAAAAAAUAUAACCCAUUAAACAUACCUAGAUUUUUUCGUUUGUCCUCCAGACUAGACUUUUCAAGUCUUAAAAUGCGAACACGAGUGAAUGAACCUAUUAAGAGUUCGCGUCUGCGAAAAAUGAUAAGGUUUCAUAAUGAACUUAAUGACAAGAUGUUAAAAUUUGUAACAAAUUGAUCCCACAUUGGGCGCCAUCAUAAAUUUCAUAUCUGUACACAGAAGUAAAAUUACUUCCUAUCUCUGAAUAUUUAAUUAAUCUUACAUAAAAAAGUAGCAACAAACAUUUGUUAUUGUCACCCAUUACCUAAAUUUGUAUAUUGAAAUUCCUUGUUAACUUAUCAAUUUUUGUCAUCAUUUUUAUGAAUCUACGCCUUGCAUAUUGAUGAUGAUGAUCCCUGCUCGAUGAGGGUUAUCAACUGAUAAAGUGCUUUUGUGUACUCUUGCAACUUGGAUGCUUAUAGAAGUGUCCCGUUUUUAAUCAAAUUGAACAUACUCAAGUGAAACGUUGGCUAUAAUAUUCUCUCAAGUACAAUAUGAAACUUAUAUUUUUAUUAAUUUUGACUAUAGUCAUUUUUUCUGUUUUGAUUGAAGCUAAGAAAAAAUCUGGUUCUGCUUCAGCAUGUGUUGAACUCCAUGCCCAUGGUGGUAAAAAAGCUUGCAGAGGUCAUAGCCGAAAAAAUCAUGAAAAGACAGAAUCUAAAAAAACACGUCAUCCAUCUUCCCGUAAGAAGACUACGAAGCAGCGUAAAUCCAACAAAAAUAAAAUAAAAAAUCAAUUGAAAAAUGAAGUGAAAGUUGAAUCGAAUGUUGAAGUUAAUAGUGAAGUGAAUACAUAACGUUAAAUUUUAUAUAAAUAAAAUCUGACGUAAUUAUUAUUUUUUUGUUAAAUUUAAUACAAAUAAAAUGUGAUUUUUAUAGUCUA
Long non-coding RNA from Episyrphus balteatus (marmalade hoverfly), 1017 nucleotides. RefSeq lists it as uncharacterized. The transcript has 2 exons. Lineage: Eukaryota; Metazoa; Arthropoda; Insecta; Diptera; Syrphidae. The record is from RefSeq and is a predicted model, not a curated record.